UACGGAGGGUGCAAGCGUUAAUCGGAAUUACUGGGCGUAAAGGGUGCGUAGGUGGUUUGAUAAGUUAUCUGUGAAAUUCCUGGGCUCAACCUAGGACUGUCAGAUGAGACUGUUAGACUCGAGUAUAGGAGAGGGUAGUGGAAUUUCCGGUGUAGCGGUGAAAUGCGUAGAGAUCGGAAGGAACACCAGUGGCGAAGGCGGCUACCUGGCCUAAUACUGACACUGAGGCACGAAAGCGUGGGUAGCAAACAGG
Molecule: ribosomal RNA, 253 nt
Filed under: uncultured prokaryote
Description: partial 16S ribosomal RNA
Rfam family: Bacterial small subunit ribosomal RNA
Source: RNAcentral